AGAGUUUGAUCCUGGCUCAGAGCGAACGCUGGCGGCAUGCUUAACACAUGCAAGUCGCACGGUCAGCAAUGGCAGUGGCGGACGGGUGAGUAAUACGUAGGAAUCUAUCCUUGAAUGGGGGACAACCGUGGGAAACUACGGCUAAUACCGCAUGAAGCCUGAGGGCCAAAGACGCGAGUCGUUUGAGGAGGAGCCUACGC
Molecule: ribosomal RNA, 200 nt
Filed under: uncultured bacterium
Lineage: Bacteria
Description: partial 16S ribosomal RNA
Rfam family: Bacterial small subunit ribosomal RNA
Source: RNAcentral